GCAAUCAUGUAAUGUAAUACAAUAAGGAGGGGCAAUAGAGUCAAAAGAAGCACACUGUGGGAACAAGGGAGAUAUGGCUCCAAGCCUCCAACUAACUGGAAGCCAAAAAUAAUGCAGAGGAAGGGAAUAUCAAUAGCUGGAAGGAACUAAUAAGGGAGGUCGUUGAGCAUUGUGAUCAGUGAAGUUUCAUAUUCCAUUCAUUCUUCUUCUUCCUUCAAUUUGUUUGAGUAAUUUUACUGUACACACAACAGAAAAAUCUCAAAAACCCCAAAUUAUAGUAUCAUACUUAUACAUACAUAUCUUCAAUUUGAAUUAUUUUUCUGAGAUCGUAUCAUUUGGUGCCUUCAUUGACGACAUGGCUGAGAACACCCAUUUGCAGUCUAUGCAAGCCGCCAUUAAUAAACUGCUGAGCAAUCCGAUGGUCACCAUGAACAACUCGCCAAGAUUACACAAUCCCUGGCGUCAAUUCAGAUACAGCUCGCUCAGAAAUUCAAAGAGUCACUGCGUUAACCUUCCCCUCACUCCAUUUUCGCUGCUCCGCGACAAAUGAAUGUUGAUUUUUCGCGAUUCUCCGGCGAGGAUGACGUACUCCAAUGGAUCUUCCGGGCUGAGAGAUUUUUCAGGAUCUAUGAUAUUCCUGAGAAUUAGAGGCUCGAUUUGGUUGUUGUUGGCCUCGAGGGCAGGGCCCUGUCAUGGUUCCAAAUAUGGGAAAAAUUGGAUCAGGUACAUGAUUGGCUUUCUUUUUCAACGGCACUUCAGAUUCAUUUUGGCCCAUCUCAAUUUGAAAAUCCUAGGGAAGAACUCUUGAAAUUGAAACAAUCUGCUUCUGUCAAAGUUUAUUUUGAGGCCUUUAACGAUUUAGCUGCUAGGGUGUUUGGAAUGGAUGAUAGUUUGCUGAUGGAUUGUUUUACUGGGGGAUUAUUGCCUUAGUUGCAACGUGAGGUGAAAUCGCGCUACCCAGCUUUCUUAAUGCAGGCUAACAUGUUUAGGACUAAGAUUUUUUACAGCAAUUAGUUGCUUUGUUACAAGGACCAAAUUGACAUAUAAUAUAAUUGAUCAAGGACCUGUUUGACUUA
Long non-coding RNA from Arachis duranensis, 1076 nucleotides. RefSeq lists it as uncharacterized. The record is from RefSeq and is a predicted model, not a curated record. Lineage: Eukaryota; Viridiplantae; Streptophyta; Magnoliopsida; Fabales; Fabaceae. The transcript is spliced from 2 exons.